AUAUUGCACAAUGGGGGAAACCCUGAUGCAGCGACGCCGCGUGAGUGAAGAAGUAUUUCGGUAUGUAAAGCUCUGUCCUCAAGGAAGAUAAUGACGGGACUUGAGGAGGAAGCCCCGGCUAACUACGUGCCAGCAGCCGCGGUAAUACGUAGGGGGCUAGCGUUAUCCGGAAUUACUGGGCGUAAAGGGUGCGUAGGUGGUUUCUUAAGUCAGAGGUGAAAGGCUACGGCUCAACCGUAGUAAGCCUUUGAAACUGGGAAACUUGAGUGCAGGAGAGGAGAGUGGAAUUCCUAGUGUAGCGGUGAAAUGCGUAGAUAUUAGGAGGAACACCAGUUGCGAAGGCGGCUCUCUGGACUGUAACUGACACUGAGGCACGAAAGCGUGGGGAGCAAACAG
This 396-nucleotide ribosomal RNA is filed under the name uncultured bacterium. RNAcentral describes it as "bacterial SSU rRNA". It matches the Rfam family "Bacterial small subunit ribosomal RNA", at positions 361 to 775 of the family's 1533-position model. The record is from RNAcentral.